UUCUGUCUUGCUGGUUUUUCUACUAGUUCCGGAAAGAAUUCUGCUAGGAACAAAGCUAAAAAGGAGCAAGGAGCUGCCUGCCUCCUCUUUUUAAAAAUUCAUGGGUGGAUGUGGGGGAAGUCUUCCUUCUUGUUACUGACUUUUCAGGCUUUGAUUUUCAUAGGCUUCAUUUACUUGGAUAGACAAUCUGAUUUUAUUUUACUCUUUUGACGUACCUUCUCCAUUCAUGGUUUCAUGUAUGAUUCUACUUCUAGACAUGGACAAAAUAAACUACAUUCUCCUAACGGCAUUUAUUCUCCUAACCAUAUCCUGCAAUUCUGGCUAUGCACUUCGAUGUUAUUUCUGUGAACAAAGUCCUUUUCUCUGUAGAAGCAACCUCACCUGUUCUGAGGAAGAUGAUGCUUGUUUGCAAAUUAGAAUGGUGAAUUUGAGAACAUACAGGUGCUGGAAAAUGUCAAAAUGCAGCAAAGAUGUUGUAGCCCAGGAGUUUAGCGUUGACAGUUUUAGACACCUUUGCUGCCAAAGGGAUUUCUGCAAUAAGAGUCCGAACCUCCUCAUCAGUACCACUCCCCUUGGUAUUUCGGCAGUGAUUGUGGUUUGGAUGAUGUCCCGAUAAUAUGGAGAUUCAAAGUAAUAUGUUCUCUGCAUAUCCCCAGUUCUCCCCAGAUAGACAAGCACUUUUACUGGAGCAACUAAAGCUAUUUGAAGAAACAAUGUCUUUUUAACCAGAAUAGUGUUAAAGCUAAACCAAAAAAAGAAAUGGAGAAGAAAUAUGUAAAAAUGGAAAACCUAAGAAGGUACUCUCACUUGUUGCAUGUUGAUUGUCUUUGACAAUUGAAUCUUCUCCUUAAUAUUUAAUCUCUGGUUAAUCCAUGGAAGCAAAAAUGCUUAUUCAUAUUUCUGGGCAAUUUGUUAAGGAAGCAAAUUUUAUUUUUUUUCCUUUAUCAGUUCAACAGCUGCAUGUUUAUCAGUAAAGAUGGAUACUGUAUUUCACAACUCACUUUUAAUGCAAGCUCAUCAUAAACAUGUUUAAGAGGCUACCAAGACAAAUGGUUGUAGGAUCCCACUGUUUAUAGCCCUACAUUGACAGAUUUGACCUUCUAUCUGUUAAAUAAGCUAUUGUAAUCUUUAUUAUCCAGGUGUUAAGCUAACUACUCUGCAGAGAACUCAUUUAUGUGGCACUUUAUGUAGUAUACUCAGUAACUACACAGCUUUGCUAAUUCAAAACUUAUUUUCUAUUCCUUAGCAUGUUUACACAAAGAACCGAAUAUUGACAGAGCUUAAUUUAAAAGUCUAAUUUCCCCUUUUUCAUUGUAUUGUUUUCUGUGAAGACUUUAUUUAAUAGAGAAACACUGAAAAGUAUUACUUAACAGAGUCCUUCCUAUGAUAGGCACAUUUUAAAAGUAUAUUAUAUAUGGACAAUAGUUAACAUUCUUUUGCAGAUUUUCCCAUAUCUCUAGAAUUGUUGGUAUCUUUAAAAAGUAUUGAAACAACUAUGUGCAAUAUGUUUUACUUACAAAAUAUGUAUAAAGAUUCCUGAGAGAACCCUGCCUUUGCUUUUGUAUGUAUAAAUCCUGUGGUUUUUAUCUUAAGAUCAGUAGUUUGUAACAUUAUUAUAACUUAUUUCAGUGGGAACUAAUGUGGUCCAAGGAGGCAAAGCUGAUGGGCAAAGAUUUUUCACUUUUUCCCACUAAUGAAAUGAAGGAAUUAGUAGGGUCUGUAUACAGAUUGUUAGAACUGACAAAGAAACCCAAAUGAAGACAACAAUCUGCUAACUGCCAACUAACAGAUAAGCACUAUAUGUGAUUGCAAUGAACCUGAGUGUUGGGAAAUAGAGAAAUAAAAAAGAAAAGUAUUUCCUAUCGCUACAUAUUUAACCAAAUUUCUUAUAAUUAUAAAACUAUCCUGGCUUAAUUCACCACCAUCACGUCAGCAACAAAGUAAGCAAUCACAUUUUACCCUAUUUUAGGGUAAAAAAGCUAUUGGUUUUUUUUUUAAUCCUUAAAUUGGAAUAAAACAGGUAAAAUAUCAUUCAACAAGAAAAAAAAACUUAUCACCUGUUUGUACAAAACAUAAUCGAUGUAUGUUAUUGCAUAUUUAACAAAGGUAUCGCAUUAAACACUAUGAGGCAAUAUAAUAAUCUUAUCUAAUACUUUAAACACUAUAAAACUUCAGACAUUUUUCUGAUUACAGAUAUAUGGAAUUAACCCUGUGUUGCCAUUUACUGGUAAUCUACACUAUUUUUCAUGCUGUUUAUCGGUGACUACACAACUCUGAUUAAAAAAUAAUAACAAUGGUUAAUUGUAACUAUUAUAACUAUGUAAUAAACUAAUUCCAUGAGCAG
Molecule: long non-coding RNA, 2344 nt
Organism: Laticauda laticaudata (blue-ringed sea krait)
Lineage: Eukaryota; Metazoa; Chordata; Lepidosauria; Squamata; Elapidae
Source: Ensembl